GAAUUUCUAUCUUAUACAACUUUUGCGGCUUUUAAGAAAUUCAACCUCCUACUUUUCUUUUCAGUUUACCAACACCUAUCUUUUAGCGGUUGAAGUUUUCAAUAGCCAACUGUUGGCUCCAAAAAGCUGAACCAAACGGGCACUAAAUUAGAUCAACUAAGAAUGAACCUGCAUGUUGGAAAUAAGAAUAUCAGUUUCCAUAAGAAAA
Molecule: unclassified non-coding RNA, 208 nt
Filed under: Hevea brasiliensis (rubber tree)
Lineage: Eukaryota; Viridiplantae; Streptophyta; Magnoliopsida; Malpighiales; Euphorbiaceae
Source: RNAcentral